GCAGUGGUGGUUCAGUGGUAGAACUCUCAUCUUCCAUGUGGGAGACUCGGGUUUAAUUUCCAGCCAAAGCA
Loxodonta africana (African savanna elephant) is the source of this 71-nucleotide transfer RNA. It matches the Rfam family "tRNA". Rfam says of the family: Transfer RNA (tRNA) molecules are approximately 80 nucleotides in length. Their secondary structure includes four short double-helical elements and three loops (D, anti-codon, and T loops). Further hydrogen bonds mediate the characteristic L-shaped molecular structure. tRNAs have two regions of fundamental functional importance: the anti-codon, which is responsible for specific mRNA codon recognition, and the 3' end, to which the tRNAs corresponding amino acid is attached (by aminoacyl-tRNA synthetases). tRNAs cope with the degeneracy of the genetic code in two manners: having more than one tRNA (with a specific anti-codon) for a particular amino acid; and 'wobble' base-pairing, i.e. permitting non-standard base-pairing at the 3rd anti-codon position. Lineage: Eukaryota; Metazoa; Chordata; Mammalia; Proboscidea; Elephantidae. The record is from Rfam.